AAUGAACCUGGUAAGCAGGUUAGGAGCGCUGUUGGAAUUAAAAACAUCUGCAAGUCUCAUGUAGCUUUCAAGUUCCAAACAACUGCACCAAAGAGUUGUUAUAUGCGUCCUCCAGGCGGUAUACUUUCUCCUGGUGAAAGUAUAAUUGCAACUGUUUUCAAGUUUGUUGAGCCUCCAGAGAGCAAUGAGAAACCAAUCAAUCACAGGAGCAAGGUUAAGUUCAAAAUCAUGAGCUUAAAGGUCAAAGGGGAAAUGGACUAUGUACCAGAACUGGUAAAUCAUGCAGGCUCUUCAGUUGAAAUUUACUGUUGGUUUUAAUUUACUGUCAACUUGUUAUCUCCGCUUGAUAUGUGAACUCAUGCAGAAUAUCUUGAUCAUUUUUUUUUCCUUGUGUUAACUUUAUAAUAUUUAUCAGUCUAAUUGCUGUAUC
Corylus avellana is the source of this 430-nucleotide long non-coding RNA. RefSeq lists it as uncharacterized. Lineage: Eukaryota; Viridiplantae; Streptophyta; Magnoliopsida; Fagales; Betulaceae. The record is from RefSeq and is a predicted model, not a curated record.